RNAcentral lists this ribosomal RNA (560 nucleotides) under uncultured eukaryote. Its description in RNAcentral is "SSU rRNA". It matches the Rfam family "Eukaryotic small subunit ribosomal RNA", at positions 1 to 565 of the family's 1831-position model. The record is from RNAcentral.
AUUCUGGUUGAUCCUGCCAGUAGUCAUAUGCUUGUCUCAAAGAUUAAGCCAUGCAUGUCUAAGUAUAAGCAAUUAUACAGCGAAACUGCGAAUGGCUCAUUAUAUAAGUUAUCGUUUAUUUGAUAGUGCCUUACUACUUGGAUAACCGUGGUAAUUCUAGAGCUAAUACAUGCUAAAAACCCCGACUUCGGAAGGGGUGUAUUUAUUAGAUACAAAACCAAUGCCCUUCGGGGCUCUUUGGUGAUUCAUGAUAACUAUACGAAUCGCACGGCCUUGCGCCGGCGAUGGUUCAUUCAAAUUUCUUCCCUAUCAACUUUCGAUGUUUGGGUAUUGGCCAAACAUGGUUGCAACGGGUAACGGAGGGUUAGGGCUCGACCCCGGAGAAGGAGCCUGAGAAACGGCUACUACAUCCAAGGAAGGCAGCAGGCGCGCAAAUUACCCAAUCCCGACUCGGGGAGGUAGUGACAAUAAAUACUAAUACAGGGCCCUUUCGGGCCUUGUAAUUGGAAUGAGUACAAUUUAAAUCCCUUAACGAGGAACAAUUGGAGGGCAAGUCUGGU